GAUGAACGCUGGCGGCGUGCCUAAUACAUGCAAGUCGAGCGAAUGGAUUAAGAGCUUGCUCUUAUGAAGUUAGCGGCGGACGGGUGAGUAACACGUGGGUAACCUGCCCAUAAGACUGGGAUAACUCCGGGAAACCGGGGCUAAUACCGGAUAACAUUUUGAACCGCAUGGUUCGAAAUUGAAAGGCGGCUUCGGCUGUCACUUAUGGAUGGACCCGCGUCGCGUUAGCUAGUUGGUGAGGUAACGGCUCACCAAGGCAAAGAUGCGUAGCCGACCAGGGAGGGUGAUGGGCCACACUGGGACUGAGACGCGGCCCAGACUCCUACGAGAGGCAGCAGUAGGGAAUCUUCCGCAAUGGACAAAAGUCUGAAGGGGCAACGCCGCGUGAGUGAUGAAGGCUUUCGGGUCGUAAAACUCUGUUGUUAGGGAAGAACAAGUGCUAGUUGAAUAAGCUGGCACCUUGACGGUACCUAACCAGAAAGCCACGGCUAACUACGUGCCAGCCGCCGCCGUAA
This 515-nucleotide ribosomal RNA is filed under the name uncultured bacterium. RNAcentral describes it as "partial 16S ribosomal RNA". It matches the Rfam family "Bacterial small subunit ribosomal RNA", at positions 28 to 523 of the family's 1533-position model. The record is from RNAcentral.